This is a long non-coding RNA of Pyrus x bretschneideri (Chinese white pear), 822 nucleotides long. RefSeq lists it as uncharacterized. The record is from RefSeq and is a predicted model, not a curated record. Lineage: Eukaryota; Viridiplantae; Streptophyta; Magnoliopsida; Rosales; Rosaceae. The transcript has 7 exons.
UCUCUCGAUUUCUUUGUGUUGUGUGCUUCCAACAUCUUCCACUUUUCACUUUCCUCUUCUUUCCUUCUCUUUCCGUUUCUCUCAUCCUAGAACGGAAGAACAAUGGAAAAUCAGAAACCCACAUCAUCAUCAUCUAUUCCUCAUCAACACAGAGCCGAAGAGUUUUUCAACAUUAAGAUUUAGAUACCCGAGGUUGGUUGACGGAUUUUGCCUCUGAACUCAAUUCAGUUCCUAAAUUUCAUCAGUUUUUGGAUUCGGUCAGGAUCGGUUUUUUACCCACGAAAUCUAGAAUCUUCUGAUGGCUUUUUCUAGGUUCGGUGAAUUUACAGGGGAGAGGGAGAGAAAGGCCUGUUGAGACCUGGACUGUCGAAUGGAGAGGAUGAAAAGCAACUGCAGGAAACCGGCAAAUUGGUGCAAUUUUUUGCUCUUUUAUUAAAUUGUCCAUUCCUGCCAAAUUUUAAACGAACUGGAGAGUGUGUUCUUUGCAAUCUUAAGCCAGAAAACAUGUGGAGUAUUAAGUCAGAAUGGUUCUUGCUGCUUCAGACAGUGGCCACACCACAUGAUUGCUUCAACCCAAAAACUUUUGCUCAUGUGUCAAAGGAUGUUGGCAUCUGUUAUCCAAAACAAACGAGUAUGGGAUCACAUUUUUUGUGUGUGUAAAUAGUUGAUCCAAACAUGAAUUAUCAAGGUGGAAUACUAGGUUAAUCAUUUUUGUAUACUAUUAAAGCAUUUGAUAAUGUCUUUUCUGUAAGUUAUAUAAAUUUUGACAGCUUUGUAAAUAUGUUUAUUCCAUUUUCUGUUUAGUAUUUAUAACACUUUGCA